RNAcentral lists this ribosomal RNA (533 nucleotides) under Pristimantis merostictus (Bogotacito robber frog). Its description in RNAcentral is "partial 16S ribosomal RNA". It matches the Rfam family "Bacterial large subunit ribosomal RNA", at positions 1900 to 2597 of the family's 2925-position model. The record is from RNAcentral. Lineage: Eukaryota; Metazoa; Chordata; Amphibia; Anura; Strabomantidae.
UUUAGCUUGCCCAGGGACCCAUUUUGUUCAACGCCGGGGUACCCUAACCGGGCAAAGGUAGGGUAAUCACUUGUCUUCUAAAUAAAGACUAGUAUGAAAGGCGCCACGAGGAUUAAACUGUCUCCCUUUUCUAAUCAGUGAACCUAAUCUCCCUGUGAAGAAGCAGGGAUUUAAAUAUAAGACGCGAAGACCCUGUGGAGCUUAAAAUAUUAUGAUACCUGCAUUCUUUUUCUUCCCCCCCACCUUCUAUUAUUGCACAAUAUCAUAUAUUUUCGGUUGGGGUGACCACGGGGGAAAAACCAUCCCCCACAAUGAAAGGGCCCCCCCCACAAUAAGCCACAGCUUUAAGUAUCAAUAAAUUGACAUCAUUGACCCAAUAUAUUGAUUAAUGAACCAAGUUACCCCAGGGAUAACAGCGCAAUCCGCUUCAAGAGCUCCUAUCGACAAGCGGGCUUACGACCUCGAUGUUGGAUCAGGGUAUCCUAGUGGUGCAGCCACUACUAAAGGUCGUUGUCAACGUAAACCUAAACCCC